This 253-nucleotide ribosomal RNA is filed under the name uncultured bacterium. Its description in RNAcentral is "partial 16S ribosomal RNA". It matches the Rfam family "Bacterial small subunit ribosomal RNA", at positions 524 to 776 of the family's 1533-position model. The record is from RNAcentral.
GACGAACCGUGCGAACGUUGUUCGGAAUCACUGGGCUUAAAGGGCGCGUAGGCGGCCCGCCCAGUCCGAGGUGAAAGCCCCCGGCUCAACCGGGGAAGGGCCUUGGAUACUGGCGGGCUCGAGGGGGAUAGGGGCGGACGGAACUUCCGGUGGAGCGGUGAAAUGCGUUGAUAUCGGAAGGAACGCCGGUGGCGAAAGCGGUCCGCUGGGUCCCCACUGACGCUGAGGCGCGAAAGCGUGGGGAGCGAACAGG